Molecule: ribosomal RNA, 1346 nt
Filed under: uncultured bacterium
Lineage: Bacteria
Description: bacterial SSU rRNA
Rfam family: Bacterial small subunit ribosomal RNA
Source: RNAcentral
GACGAACGCUGGCGGCGUGCUUAACACAUGCAAGUCGAACGGAAAGGCCCUGCUUUUGUGGGGUGCUCGAGUGGCGAACGGGUGAGUAACACGUGAGUAACCUGCCCUUGACUUUGGGAUAACUUCAGGAAACUGGGGCUAAUACCGGAUAGGAGCUCCUGCUGCAUGGUGGGGGUUGGAAAGUUUCGGCGGUUGGGGAUGGACUCGCGGCUUAUCAGCUUGUUGGUGGGGUAGUGGCUUACCAAGGCUUUGACGGGUAGCCGGCCUGAGAGGGUGACCGGCCACAUUGGGACUGAGAUACGGCCCAGCCUCCUACGGGAGGCAGCAGUGGGGAAUAUUGCACAAUGGGCGGAAGCCUGAUGCAGCAACGCCGCGUGCGGGAUGACGGCCUUCGGGUUGUAAACCGCUUUCGCCUGUGACGAAGCGUGAGUGACGGUAAUGGGUAAAGAAGCACCGGCUAACAACGUGCCAGCAGCCGCGGUGAUACGUAGGGUGCGAGCGUUGUCCGGAUUUAUUGGGCGUAAAGGGCUCGUAGGUGGUUGAUCGCGUCGGAAGUGUAAUCUUGGGGCUUAACCCUGAGCGUGCUUUCGAUACGGGUUGACUUGAGGAAGGUAGGGGAGAAUGGAAUUCCUGGUGGAGCGGUGGAAUGCGCAGAUAUCAGGAGGAACACCAGUGGCGAAGGCGGUUCUCUGGGCCUUUCCUGACGCUGAGGAGCGAAAGCGUGGGGAGCGAACAGGCUUAGAUACCCUGGUAGUCCACGCUGUAAACGGUGGGUACUAGGUGUGGGGUCCAUUCCACGGGUUCCGUGCCGUAGCUAACGCUUUAAGUACCCCGCCUGGGGAGUACGGCCGCAAGGCUAAAACUCAAAGGAAUUGACGGGGCCCCGCACAAGCGGCGGAGCAUGCGGAUUAAUUCGAUGCAACGCGUAGAACCUUACCUGGGUUUGACAUGGAUCGGGAGCGCUCAGAGAUGGGUGUGCCUCUUUUGGGGUCGGUUCACAGGUGGUGCAUGGCUGUCGUCAGCUCGUGUCGUGAGAUGUUGGGUUAAGUCCCGCAACGAGCGCAACCCUUGUUCACUGUUGCCAGCACGUUAUGGUGGGGACUCAGUGGAGACCGCCGGGGUCAACUCGGAGGAAGGUGGGGAUGACGUCAAGUCAUCAUGCCCCUUAUGUCCAGGGCUUCACGCAUGCUACAAUGGCUGGUACAGAGAGUGGCGAGCCUGUGAGGGUGAGCGAAUCUCGGAAAGCCGGUCUCAGUUCGGAUUGGGGUCUGCAACUCGACCUCAUGAAGUCGGAAUCGCUAGUAAUCGCAGAUCAGCAACGCUGCCGUGAAUACGUUCCCGGGGCU